Molecule: ribosomal RNA, 397 nt
Filed under: uncultured bacterium
Lineage: Bacteria
Description: partial 16S ribosomal RNA
Rfam family: Bacterial small subunit ribosomal RNA
Source: RNAcentral
AUACGUAGGUGGCAAGCGUUGUCCGGAAUUACUGGGUGUAAAGGGCGUGUAGGCGGGGAUGCAAGUCAGAUGUGAAAUUCCGGGGCUCAACCCCGGCACUGCAUCUGAAACUGUGUCUCUUGAGUGCUGGAGAGGAAAGCGGAAUUCCUAGUGUAGCGGUGAAAUGCGUAGAUAUUAGGAGGAACACCAGUGGCGAAGGCGGCUUUCUGGACAGUAACUGACGCUGAGGCGCGAAAGCGUGGGUAGCGAACAGGAUUAGAUACCCUGGUAGUCCACGCCGUAAACGAUGGAUACUAGGUGUAGGAGGUAUCGACCCCUUCUGUGCCGGAGUUAACACAAUAAGUAUCCCACCUGUGGAGUACGGCCGCAAGGUUGAAACUCAAAGGAAUUGGCGGGG